This 428-nucleotide small RNA is filed under the name Pongo abelii (Sumatran orangutan). Its description in RNAcentral is "transcribed unitary pseudogene". Lineage: Eukaryota; Metazoa; Chordata; Mammalia; Primates; Hominidae. The record is from RNAcentral.
AUACCCUCCUGCCAGGUCGCAGGUCCCUCCCCGGCCCGGGGCAGCCCGGCGUUGAGAGAUGGAGCCCAAAGACCAGCCACUAAUGCUGAGGGGCAUGGGGCUGAGCUGCUGCCUGCACCUCUUCAUGGAGACUGAGCAGAUCCCAGAGCCGGAGGGCAAGGGAGGGCUGGGCCACGGGGAUGGGUCCUGAGGGUGAAGAGGCCCUGUGCAGCUGCCCUGGUGGUGACCGCCUGCAGGUGGCACUUCGAAUCCGCCCGCUCAAUGACGCAGAACUGGAGGAGGGAGCCGCAGUCAUCGCCCACAAAGUGGGGGACCAGAUGGUGGUGCUCAUGGACCCCGGCGAGGACCCUGAGGACGUGGCGCGCACACACCGGUCCCGGGAGCGGACCUUCAUCUUCGACAGGGUGUUUGACCAGCACGCAUCUCAG